Molecule: RNA transcript, 1374 nt
Organism: Aphidius gifuensis
Lineage: Eukaryota; Metazoa; Arthropoda; Insecta; Hymenoptera; Braconidae
Gene name: molybdopterin synthase catalytic subunit-like
Exons: 9
Source: RefSeq, a predicted model, not a curated record
AAAGUAUUAAAGAUAAUUUUGUGUUGGCCAUUGAAGAAGAAUUUGUUGAAGAUAACAAGUUACUUGAUCUUGCUGAUAACAGUAUUGUUGCAGUGAUACCACCACUGAGUGGAGGCUAAUUAAACAUGGAAAAUAAAGGAAAAAAUUCAGUAAAAAUCCAAGAUGACGUUUUGUCUGUUGAUGAAAUUACAAAAAUUGUCAUGGCACCAUCAUGUGGAGCAGUGUCUUCAUUCAUUGGAACAACCAGAGACACAUUUAACUCCCAAGAGGUUAUGAAAUUGUCAUACGAAGCCUAUCAAGACAUGGCACUGAAAAAAAUGAAUGUAAUAUGCAAUGAGAUACGUGAAAAAUGGAAUGUAUUUAAUAUUGCAAUUCAUCAUAGAAUUGGUGAUGUACCAGUUGGUGAAAUAAGUGUUGUCAUUGCAGUAUCAUCAGUGCACAGAAAUGAAUCGUUAAAAGCUGUUGAAUAUGCCAUUGAUAGACUCAAACAAACAGUGCCUAUUUGGAAAAAAGAAAUUUAUAAAAAUCAACAGGCUGAAUGGAAAGAAAAUAAAGAAUAUGAUAAAAUGAGUCUUGAUGACGAUGAUAAUGUUUUAUUAAAAAAUAAUAAUGAUUAUUAUGAAAUUAAUGAGAAAUUUAUUCAAGUUAAAUCAACGAGUGAAGAAGUUAAAAUGAGAAUUGAUAAAUUUACAUCCAGGAAACGUGAAGAAAUUAAUAAUAUUAAUAUCAAAGAAUUUCGAAUUGAUGGUGAUGUACAAGAUGAAGAAACUUGUGCAAGAACUCAUGCUGUUUUUGUUCGACGAAAAGAUUCGAAAAGUCAUCUACGAGUUACUAAGGUGGAAAAUAAAAGAGGCCCUCAAACUAUGAGAGUGCCUGAUAAUUGCUCAAAGCUAAAUGACAAUAUUAAUUCUGGUAUUGAUGAACGACUUGGUAAUUGUGAAAAAUUUAUUGGAAUUAAUAAACCAGUACCUCGUGAUAUUUACCAACGAUUAAAAAAUAUUGAAGAUCAAAUUUUUUAUCUCGAAGGAAUUUCUCCAGAGUACAGAAAUUUUCUGACAAAUAAUGAUGAUUCUGAUACAGAUUAUAAACCAGUCAAGAAAAAGUCAUGUUUUGUGUACAUUAAAAAAUGAUUGUUUAUGAGGAAAGUGAUAUUGAUAUACCAAUUAAAAGUUCAAGUGAUCAAAAACAAUUUAAAGUAUAAAAGAAAAAUUAUUGUUCAUUUUGAAAAUACAACAACAGACAAUUUUCCACAAUAACAAAUUGCUAUUAAACAUAACCAUCAAACAGAUAAUAGAAAAUUCCUAUAUGAAGUUAGGCAUCGUCAAAGUAAAAUGGGACGUCCUCGUUCAGUAAUUGCUCAAGGUUCAACACCAG